Molecule: ribosomal RNA, 303 nt
Filed under: uncultured bacterium
Lineage: Bacteria
Description: bacterial SSU rRNA
Rfam family: Bacterial small subunit ribosomal RNA
Source: RNAcentral
GAUGAACGCUCGACGAGGAAUGCUUAACACGAUGCAAGUCUACUUGAGUCCUUCGGGUGAGUGGUGGCGGACGGGUGAGUAACGCGUAAAGAACUUGCCUUGCAGUCUGGGACAACGUCUGGAAACGGACGCUAAUACCGGAUAUUAUGAUUGAAUCGCAUGAUUUAAUUAUGAAAGCUAUAUGCGCUGCGAGAGAGCUUUGCGUCCCAUUAGUUAGUUGGUGAGGUAACGGCUCACCAAGACGAUGAUGGGUAGCCGGCCUGAGAGGGUGAACGGCCACAAGGGGACUGAGACACGGCCCUU